Molecule: long non-coding RNA, 1198 nt
Organism: Coturnix japonica (Japanese quail)
Lineage: Eukaryota; Metazoa; Chordata; Aves; Galliformes; Phasianidae
Source: Ensembl
GGAUGAGAGGAGGAUGGAAGGUAAGAAUGGAAGAGAAAUAGCACAUUGCACAAGUGCUUCCAAAGGCGCACACAGAGAGGAACAACUGCACUGAACAGCAGCACCAAGUAAGUGGUGCCCAGUUAUGCCACCUUAUUUCCCACUCCAAAAUCUGGGAUUCUAUGGAAGUUCCCAUUUAUCUACACAUUCUUCAUGCUUGACAUGACUACAUGCAUUCAGCCCAAGACGCAUCAGGACUAUGGACUUGCUGGGUGGACUCCCAUCCUGACAGGUCUCUUUGGAGACCCUUUACUCAUAUUUAGAAGUUGACAAGCAUUCUACUUCCCAGUUGAAGGGGCCAGCUAUUUUUUUCUUCUACAUUUCUGAAGUUGAAUGAGUAUCACCUUUCCUGUAUUUUUAUCAAAACUAACCCAACAAAGGAAAUCAGGCUGAAUUAUAUAUACUGUUGAUUGAAACAGGCAUCUCUAUAAGAAAAUAAAUAAGUCCAUCAGCCUAAGAGCUGUAUUGAGAAAGAUAAGGACCUGAUUCAAACACCAGAAUCACAAAUCAAAGGUAGGAAAGUUCAAAAGACUACUAUCAAAAGAAAUUAUUAUUAUUUUUUUUAAUACACAUUUUUUUUUUGCAGCUCCCCACUACCUGCCUUCCUCCAGUUUUCCAUUAAAAGAAAACUCAUAUUUAUCCAGUUAAAAUUUAGAAGGCUUAGAAUACCACUGAUUCCUGAAUGUGCUUCUAGAAGAGGAUACCUGCAGAGGACACUGCAUUACACAUUUUAAAAACAGGGAAAUCAUUUUUGGAUUUUGAAGUUUUGACAGCAAGUGACAGUGAAGAUGGCAAGUCGGAGCAAUGAUUUCCUCAGCUCAAACUCCUUUGUCAAAGAGAGUGCAUCAAGACCCAGAGCAUGACUACAAUAAGAUAUUCCUCAGCAUCUCAUUCGUUUUCAUUGACACCACUAUGCCAAUCCGUGAAUGAGGAACAGAAGAUGCUUAUAGGAAACAGAUAAAAUAUGCCUUUUGGGGCAUUUGAUUUAGAAAGAUUUGGCCACCAUACAACUAGACCUGUCAUAAUAUUUCUAUAGUCAAUGUUUAGUGGACUCUGAAGCCCCUCUUGAGCAUCAUUGUUUAAGGAAUGAAAUAGAAAAAUUAUUUCAUGUCAUAUUUGAAGGAAUAAAAAAGCAACACCGUUAAGCUUGUUUGUAAGA